RNAcentral lists this transfer RNA (71 nucleotides) under Bos taurus (domestic cattle). It matches the Rfam family "tRNA". From Rfam's summary of the family: Transfer RNA (tRNA) molecules are approximately 80 nucleotides in length. Their secondary structure includes four short double-helical elements and three loops (D, anti-codon, and T loops). Further hydrogen bonds mediate the characteristic L-shaped molecular structure. tRNAs have two regions of fundamental functional importance: the anti-codon, which is responsible for specific mRNA codon recognition, and the 3' end, to which the tRNAs corresponding amino acid is attached (by aminoacyl-tRNA synthetases). tRNAs cope with the degeneracy of the genetic code in two manners: having more than one tRNA (with a specific anti-codon) for a particular amino acid; and 'wobble' base-pairing, i.e. permitting non-standard base-pairing at the 3rd anti-codon position. Lineage: Eukaryota; Metazoa; Chordata; Mammalia; Artiodactyla; Bovidae. RNAcentral also lists the same sequence under 5 other names. The record is from Rfam by way of RNAcentral.
UCCUGGUGGCUCAGAGGUUAAAGCCUCUGCCUGCAAUGCGGGAGACCCGGGUUCGAUCCCUGGGUCAGGAA